RNAcentral lists this ribosomal RNA (625 nucleotides) under Salmonella enterica. RNAcentral describes it as "partial 23S ribosomal RNA". It matches the Rfam family "Bacterial large subunit ribosomal RNA", at positions 1 to 668 of the family's 2925-position model. RNAcentral also lists the same sequence under 1 other name. Lineage: Bacteria; Pseudomonadati; Pseudomonadota; Gammaproteobacteria; Enterobacterales; Enterobacteriaceae. The record is from RNAcentral.
GGUUAAGCGACUAAGCGUACACGGUGGAUGCCCUGGCAGUCAGAGGCGAUGAAGGGCGUGCUAAUCUGCGAUAAGCGCCGGUAAGGUGAUAUGAACCGUUAUAACCGGCGAUACCCGAAUGGGGAAACCCAGUGUGAUUCGUCACACUAUCAUUAACUGAAUCCAUAGGUUAAUGAGGCGAACCGGGGGAACUGAAACAUCUAAGUACCCCGAGGAAAAGAAAUCAACCGAGAUUCCCCCAGUAGCGGCGAGCGAACGGGGAGGAGCCCAGAGCCUGAAUCAGCAUGUGUGUUAGUGGAAGCGUCUGGAAAGGCGCGCGAUACAGGGUGACAGCCCCGUACACAAAAGCGCAUGUGUUGUGAGCUCGAUGAGUAGGGCGGGACACGUGGUAUCCUGUCUGAAUAUGGGGGGACCAUCCUCCAAGGCUAAAUACUCCUGACUGACCGAUAGUGAACCAGUACCGUGAGGGAAAGGCGAAAAGAACCCCGGCGAGGGGAGUGAAAAAGAACCUGAAACCGUGUACGUACAAGCAGUGGGAGCACCCUUCGGGGUGUGACUGCGUACCUUUUGUAUAAUGGGUCAGCGACUUAUAUUCUGUAGCAAGGUUAACCGAAUAGGGGAGCCG